Long non-coding RNA from Elaeis guineensis (African oil palm), 417 nucleotides. RefSeq lists it as uncharacterized. Lineage: Eukaryota; Viridiplantae; Streptophyta; Magnoliopsida; Arecales; Arecaceae. The record is from RefSeq and is a predicted model, not a curated record.
GCGCUCCGAAAAUCCUCUCAUUUCUUCCGCCUCUCCGUCUCCCCUCCCUAGAGCUCCCAAAACCCUACCGCCCUCCUCUUCCUCCUAACGGCCCUGACGAAGCCAAAUCCAAGCUCGGCACCUCCAUCAUAGAUCAGUAUAUUGUUGCUAUCCAUGUCUUUUAUAGUAAUCGAGAGGAUUUGACUGUGAAGAAAUACUAAUAGAAGAGGAUUGUUGAGAAGGAAAUUGAUUUGCAUGGGAGCUUUAUGGUGAUGACUAUUAUGGUGAAGAAAGGAUUUGACUUAUAUUGGAACUUUGUGGAAGCUUUAUGGCUUCGUAGUUGUUGAUUAAGAUUUGGAUAUUUCAUAACUUUUUGGGUGCUGUAUGAGACCUAUCAUUUUAUUUAUCAAUUUUUAUUAUGAAGAUGAUGUACGGAGG